Molecule: long non-coding RNA, 11233 nt
Filed under: Coffea arabica (coffee)
Lineage: Eukaryota; Viridiplantae; Streptophyta; Magnoliopsida; Gentianales; Rubiaceae
Description: long non-coding RNA (CARA_LNC001766)
Source: RNAcentral
CAUUUCCAACCAACAAUUCAAACUUAAUUACAAUUCAAAAGUAAAAUAUAGGAUUACAUUCUAAAGAUUCCAAAUACAUCUCAUCUAUAAAAGUACAAGUACAAGAGAUUAUAUACACUAGUUCACGGCUACUUGCUCCAACCUCCAUCCCUGUAAGGAAAACAAACUAAUGGGAUGAGUUAAAAGUUCAGCGAGGUUCCCAAACAAGCAAUCAAGCAAGCAUACACGAAAACAUUUACAUUUAGCACUUUGCACACUUGGCACAGUAAUAAAUAGUCAUUCAAGAGUCAAUUAUUCAUUCAUUGAAAGGAUACAUGCUCACUUGAAGCCAUUCAUUCAUUCAUUCGCCAACCAUUUUCCUUAUCCCUCCGACAUUAGAAAACAUUUGCAAGUAAAAACUCAUUCAGUGCUCAUGUCAUUCAUUCAUUUAUUUUUAUUGCAUUGAAUUCACUGGUCAGUUCUCCACCAGAUUUCGUGGUAAUACUUGAGUAUACCAAACAUUGUCCCAGGGUCACCAGCCGCCCAACCGAGUCCGCUUCUGGCUCGAUUUGACCGUCAACGAAGAGCAAGGGCCCAAUUCAGCCAAAAGGCUUACAUUCAUACACAAGUAGCAUUCAAUCAUUGAAAAUUCACUUUUGCGUGGGUCGAGUGCGAUAAAGUACAUACUCGUCCAUCGAAAAUCCAUUUAGCAAUCAUUGGAAAGCAUUUAACAUUUAGACAACAUUCCACAUAGUCAUUUAAAGCAUACACAUGCAAGGAACACUUACUAAUAAUUAAUGUUAAGCAAAAUCAGGUUGAGGCUGUGACGCCCCCACUUCUCCCUAAGGCGAACCAAAGGGUAUCCGCGGAACGCCUGCCUAACUCUCGCCAGGACUCAAGCAAUUCCAUUCAAGCUUAUUACCGGACCACACAAUACGAGUCAAUAACUUAGAUACAAUAAAUGCGGAAGCGUUCAAGUUUAAUGAAAGUCAUCCGUUAUCCGACCCGCACAUCGGGUGUUCAACAACCAUUAUAUAUAUCUCAAAUAUACAUCAUGCUCCAAAAGUUACAUUCGGAUUCCAAAAUACAAUCCAAAAGCCAACACAUAGUCAAAAGUAAUAGAAACCCUAAACAAAAGUGUAUUAGGAAGGUUUCUUCGAUACCUCGCCAAGUUCAAUCCUGUUAAGGAAAACAAAUCUACAGGGUGAGCAAAACGCUCGUGAGGCCAAGAACACACAUGCAGACACAUAGUUCAGAUAACAAGCCCAAAUACAAUUCAGGUAAUAGCUUGCAAGUAAUUAAUAACGCCGACAAAAUGUAACCAGAAACAAUUCAAGGAUAUGGAAGCUCUCAGGAGCUAAGUUCCACAUUUGCCGAUGUCAUUUGUAUAUCUCCCCGUGAUGACUCUCCGUCAACCGGGUUGAUAUUUUCAUAUCCGUAGUUCACCACUUACUUCUCAUCCGUCCACCAUACACCACUUCGGGCCCGCACGACAUUUAUAAGGCGAUACUUUACGAGUAUGCCAAGCGAGAUCUCUCAAUAGAUCAAGCUUAUCAUGUGAAUCUCAUGGUUCACCGAGGUUCCCGACCAAGCCCAUGCCGGCUCGAGUUCCAAGGUCGGCCUAUGAGUUUGGGCGUCCCCCAUGUAUCAUGUAAAUGUCGAGGAGAUUCACUCCAUCGACGUAUGCAAUCAUAGCAUACCAUUUCAUGCAUUCAAGCAUUUGACAUGUUUAAGCAGGCAUUUCAAGUCAUGUAAACCAGGCAAAUCAUGUUAGACAUGAGUCAUUCGUGCCAAAUGAGAACGAGUGCGAUUAAGUACACACUCGACUCCAUUUUUUUCAAAAUCAAAUAGACUAAGCAUGUAAUCAGGUAAGUCAAGCAUGAAUCAAGACUUUAGAGUUCAAGUAGGCAUACACUUGACACUCACCAGUUAUGCAAGCAAGUAGGUUGGAGGGAGAGUUCAAACUUCCACGGUAGGGUCCUCUUGGAGGUCCUCGUGCGUGCCUGAACAUCGAAUAGUAGAUAAUUACUAUAGGUCCCCAAGUGGUGAGAAAGAUUGGACACGGGUAAGGUUCGGAAAUAUUUGAAAACUUCGUUUGACUUGUCUUUGAAGUUGGAUUCUCAAAAGGGUGCAGGACUCGAGUAAAAAUCGGAUUAUUAUCCUUAAAAUCAUUGGUUGGAAACGAGUACGAGCAAAACGAUUGCAAAUCGAACGAUCGAAAUCGAAAGACGGCUGGCCACGCCACAAUCCGGCCGGAUAUCCGGCCGGAUUUCUGGCCGGAUAUCCGGCCGGAUUUCUGGCCGGAUUGGAGGCAGUGGCUAACCUCCUUUUUUUUUCAAACUUCGCCACCAAUCCGGCCCACAAUCCGGCCAAAACUGGCCGGAUUCUGGUAAAAUUGUUCCUUCGCGGAUUUCCAGAAUUUUUGAUUUUUGGUCAAAUCUUUGAAAAAUCAUAACUUUCUUUCUACUAAUCGAAACUUGAUGAAUUUGGUACCGUUGGAAUCGUCUUCUAAAGUACUAAAAGUCCUUAGAAGACACCAUUCCAUGAAUCUAAGUGGAAGGUAUUCAAAAAUGAGCCUAAAGUUGCUGUUCUAGAUUACCAGGAUUGAGCCGGGGUUGGUUUUUCGCUAACUUUGGAAAUUCGGAAAAAAUCACUCGUUGCAAACCGGCCCUUGAAACUUAUAACUCGAUUAGAAGUGCAAGUAAAGUUUUGAACAGAACAAGCGGCUCAAGAAUUGGAGUUUCGAGUACCGAGAUACGGUAGCUCAAAGUUGGGAAAAAUUCAAGACUGUUACAAAAUUUCCAGAUUUGGUUCCGACUUUGGACCUUUUAUUAAGUGCCGAAACGGACUUGGAUUGACACCAAAUUUUGCAGUAUAAUACUCCAUAUGAAGGGUAUCUCUCUAUCAAAUUUCAUGGAAAAAUACCCUCGGAAAGGUGGUUAAUCAAUCAACCAAAGUUUGGAAAAAUCCUUAAGGCAAUCUGUCCAAAUCUAAGGUUUCAAAAACGAGGCAGUCGCCGUAUUUUGAUCAUAACUCCCUCAAUUUAACUCGGAAUUGGGAAUGGUUGAUAGUGUUAGAAAAUACAUUCACAGGGCUAAAAUUUCACAGAAGAAAUCGUUUCAAGUUUCAGCAUGCAACUGGUUCGAAAUUAAGCCUAAAGUUGCAGCAUCAUCAAAUCAUUUCGGCAGAACGGAGAAACAGGACAGCCGACUUCAGAUGAAUGGUGUGGCUCACACACAUGAAACCAGAAUGUGCAUUAUACACCGUUGGAAACAUGGGAACGUCUAGUUUCAAAUGCCGCUAACGGCACUUGAUUUCGACGUCGGAGUACGGAGUUAUGGACGAAACACGAACACUGGUCUGGUUACGACGGCAACCGUUUUCCCAGAUUACUAGCUUUGGAAAUAAAUUCGUUUGACCCACCAAAACUCAGUAUUUUUCAACGAAAAUUUGUACACAACUGCUACAACAUGUAAACAACAUAAUCAAGCCAUUAAAUCCUCAAAUUUCUGCAUUAAAGUGACCGAACAGAGCAGGGGUAAAAUGGGAACUUUUUGUUUCAAGAGUUCAAUAACGUUUCUGGUAACAAAGCACCUUUAAUCUACUUCCUUAAGCUCUAAUUCAGCAACAAAACCAUCAUCAAACAUCAUCACAGCCAUCAACCCAAAGUGGGAGUUCAUAGAGCCCACGUUUAACAAUUUUCCCAACAAUACAAGCUACUAAAGUGACGAUUCUAGCUCAAAUGCAUAAAUCAAACUCCAAAAGACAAGUUUAAGGUGAUUGAUUACUACCUACUUUGAUGGCUGGUUAGGACAGAAGUUUCGGCCCCUUUGAAGCUUGAAGAACCGUGAAAGCUCCUCCCUUUUCCAGCUAAAUGUGUUGUCCAAGACUUAGGCUAAGUGGUGCUAAAUUUUUAGAAGAUUUGGUGGUGAUUUGCAUGAGUUUUAGAAGAAGAAAUGUUGAAGGUUUCGGUUGUCCCUUUUGCUGCUGCUAUCCGGCCAUGAAGUUUUGCAGAAAUGAAAUGAGAUUGCUGGUUCCUUUGCGGUCAUAAGAUGCUUGACGUCUAAUAUUUUAAAUACGUCAAAUCAAUUAUAACUAGUGCCCUACGCGCGCGUUUUGUGUUCGAUUUCUCUUACGUUUGUUGCACUAGUGCACUAAACCUCUAGGGUACCUAUAUUCAUAUAAAUAUUAUUCAUUCUUAAUUGUCCCAAAAUAAUGGUCCAAAGUCCCUCAAUUAAGCGCGCACGUGAAAACACGUAAUUUAAAUUUAGGCGCGAUAAAAUGAAACCUUCGACAAAUUCUUAUAACGAUCGUACCACUAACUAUCACUUGAGUAUUUAAACCUAAAUUUACCUAUUUUAGGACCAUUGUACAUGUCUCCAAAUUUUCGAGCUUAUUGUACUCCCAAUUGGCUAAAGUUUUUCAGACACGUUUUCACUUUUCACUAAUCAAGUUUUUAAGAAAAUAAUUCUUGAAAUGAGACGCUUUAAAAAUAUAACGAAACUAUAAAACCAUGUACUUAGGUCUAAUAAGGCUAGAAAAUAUUAUUCGGGGCAAAAAUCCAAAUAGAUAAUUAAUUGAGCCAAAAUUAGGGGUUUUAAAAAUAAUAAUUUUACGAGUUCUCACGUGAAUUGAGUAUUAAUUCCUCCAUUAACCUUUCUUAAUCUAUUAUUGAUCGUUCUUAAUUCUCCAAUAUUAAUAUACUCCCGAUUCAAGUAUAGCCUAGAAAAACGUGCACCCGUCGUUCCGGACUAAACAAAUUUUCGAAAAGCGAAUUUUUCAACAAAACGCUUUAAAAAUAUAAAGAGGCGUCAUUCCAUAUAAAUGGAUUUAAAAUGGUCGAAAUAAAUAAUUCGAAGAAAAUGAGUGAAUAAUCAUUUAAAUAUUCCAGUAAUAUUCUAUAAAAAUAAGAAAAUUUUCGGGUCCUCACAGAGGCCUAACUCCUUGGCCAGAUUCUAAAUCUGCGAUCAAAUAUUGAAUAACAAAAUACAAUCAAGUAGGGUUUCCAAAUAUCCAACCCUUACUUGUGAAUAUCACAAGGAGAUCAUGUGAAUAGAACUUACAUACAUAGAUUUCAUGACUUACUAACCCCGGGCAAAAUACAUGCAUGCUUGCCUUUGUUUUAGAAAAAAAACGAUCGAAACUUUUAUGUUUAAAACGUGACAUGCACAACUAAAAAUCACGUUUUAAAAUAGUCAUUACUUUCACCUUGCAAAAUAUAUAAUUUUGGCAAAAUUUCAACUUACAUAUCACCUCCAAGGUUAACUCAAACAUUCCUAAACAAGUCAAGUCCAAAUCGAUUACAAAGCACACCUCUAUGCCCACUUUUACUCACUUAUCUUUCAAGAAAUGAAAUGGAUAACAAUUCCCCCGUUCUUUCUUCAAUUUUUCCUCCAAUUUUUCAAGCUAAACUUUAUGGCAAAACAACCCAAAUCAACUCCACAACUCAUAAGAAAAAAGGGGUUCGUACACUAGACUACAAAACCAACUAAUUUAGACUUAUCUCUAGCAUACAAACAUAAUACAUCUACAUUGGAAAAUUAAACCCUAGGCUGAAAAUUUAGAAGCUAAAGCUGAAAAAUUAUAAUUCAAGGCUGGAAAUCCCUACACCCAAGUUAAAAAUCACAUUUCAAAUCUUACUAUAUUAUAUCAAAGCUAGAAAGUCCCAUGUGAACGCUGAAAAAUCCAUAUACAUAAUAAAUUUAUGAUCCAAGUAUGAAAUGGAGUGCAAGUAAUCGAGAAAGUUAGGUUUAAAAACCAGAAAAUAUUUCCAAGACCCUUCCAAGUUUUUUGUCAUUUCGCAAGAAAAAUUUCAGUUUUUGUAAUGCUCUUUGAAACGUCAUAACUUGAGUUUUGUAAGUUCAAAAAUCAUAAAUCUUAUACCUUUAGAAAAUAGACUCAAAAGAUUACAACUCCCUAGAAGACACCUUCAUAAAAUUCAGCCCAUAAAUUAGUCAAAUCUCAGCCUCAAUUCACUGCUAAAUUAAGUGCAAAAACAGGACAGUCUUGGAUUUUCAACCCAUUUUGAAAUUUUGCUGGUAUUUAUAGAAAAUGAACCAACCCAUGAAGUUUACACGGUUAAAAGAGCUAUGAGUCUAAUUUCAAAUACAACAAAUGGAACUCAAUUCAGAUUUUCUAUACCAAGAUAUAACAAAUUUUCCAAAACUGAUUAAAGUAUCUUGCUGGAAAAAUUUUCAGCAGCGCUUUCCCUUAUUUUUCCUAAUUUUCAGCCAUUUUCAAGGCUUCAUUCUCACCACAAAAUAGUCUCAACUCAAGCAUAUACAUACCAGACCAUCAACUCACUAAAUCAACCAUAUACAUAGCAUUGAACCAUCACAACUCCAUGUAUAUAUAGAGUUUCAAGUAACUACAUCAAGGCUGGAAAUUUCACCAAACCUAACAGUACCAUGAUAGCUGUCAUAAAAGUCAUGGCUUUUACCUUAUAAAGUAUCAUCCAUCAAGUAAAUACAAAAAUAAGUGGAAAGAUAAGGUAGCUAUCAAAUUACCUCUUAAAUCCCACAAAACAAUGCUGAAAAAUCACAACACAACCUGAAAAUCAUGAAAUCCACCGUAUAAACCCUUCCUUUAGCUUCUAUAACAUCAUAUAUCAAAGAAACUCAAAGAUAAGGGAGGAUUUCUAGCAAAGUUCUCCUUUUUACCUCCAAAACUUAGACGGACAGCCAAGCAAGAAGUACUCAAGGGUUUCUUCCUCCAAAACUUCUCCAAGAGCUACCCCUCAAGAUUAUCUCAAGGUUGAUUGGAGUGGAUUAGGGUUGAUCUUGGUUUUUUUUUUCCCAUGAUUCAGCAAGAGAUUAAGGCUGAAAAUGGAGUAUUUUUCUCUUCUUAUCCUAUCAAAUUUCGUCCAUCAUGGAAGGAAAAGGAAAAAAAAUGGUGAUUGACUUGAGUUGGAUAAGUUUUAAGCUUAAUCUUGACAGUAUUAAGCUUAAUCUUGGUCAAGUCUUGGUCAAGAUUGACUUGGUAUUUGACAAGUAGCACAAAUCCAAGUGAAGUCAAUCUAAUUGUCUCUCUUAUGCACUCAAAUAUCUAUUACUCCUCCAAUCAUCUCUUAACACCUUUUGUUACAUAAUUCUUUUUGCACAAAACCCUUCUAAUCCUCCAAAUUUAUUGCAGACGCCUCACUAAUCGGUCAUACUAGUAUUAUGCACUAUGAGACUUAACAUAUAUAAAAUGAAACAUGCACCAAGUAAAAUAAAAAAAUAGGUCAAAAUUAUGAUUCAACUAAUAAAACAACCAAGAAUUCAAGGCAAGUAAAUGAAAUCAAAGAAAAUAUUUAACUAAUUAUCAGGUCACAACACAACUUGCAAAUAUCUAAAAGUGAGUAAAAAUGGACAAAACCUUUUUUUUUCUUGGUCAAAUCUAGGAUUUGAAAUCUCUUGUAUUAAAAUUUCUUUCUUGCCAUAAAUAUCUCGUGCUACAAAAUGUUAGUCAAUCACUUAAAAGAAACAAUAAGGUACAACUAUCCGUUGUCAUUCACUAUAUAUACAAGCAAAUUAGUUGAAAUGAAAGGUAUGAAAAUUUUGAGUUCUCACACUCUCUCCCCCUUAAAAGAAUUUCGCCAUCGUAAUUCUAAUCUUUGCUAGCAAAACUCAAGUUUGCAAUCUCCAAUUUACUCAUGGUCAUUGCCAAUGCCAUACCCAAAAUAUACUAUAGCUACUUACCCCUAUAGUAUCCUUUUCAUCCUCAAUCGGAGUGGUCAUCCUACAUUCACUAAAAGAAUGUCACUACAAGAAAAAAGAUCAUUAGUGACAACAUUUCUUUGUGACGACAAAAAGUCGUCACAAAAUGAGGUUGUUUAGUCACGACUUUGAAGGUUGUCACAAUUGACUCAAAGAAACUGAGUUUUCAGUGACAACAUUUAAUUGUCGUCACAAAACUACUUCGCGCCAUGGGACUUGGAAGGCGCGAGAUUUGCGAUAGUGAUGAUUUGAUAAAUGUUAUCAGUAAUUCUACCGCUUUCUUUAACAACAUUUCAUUGUUGUCACUGUUUAUGUUUACUGACGACCAAUUUUUGUCAGUAAAACUAUAACGUAGUUAGUGACAACAUAAGUAUCAUCACUAACUUGAACAUCUCUGUGACGCCCCCACUUCUCCCUAAGGCGAACCAAAGGGUAUCCGCGGGACGCCUGCCUAACUCUCGCCAGAACUCAAGCAAUUCCAUUCAACUUAUAGUCGGACCACACAAUACAAGCCAAUAACUUAGAUACAAUAAAUGUGGAAGUAUUCAAACUUAAUAAUAGUCAUCCAUUCUCCAAACCACACGUCAGAAUACAGAUUACAUUUCGUCCAAAGGUUACAUUUCCAUACCAAAAGUACAAUUCCAAAACCAAAGGCAUAACUAAAAGUAAUACCAAGCCCUAAACAAAAGUACAUCAAGAGGGCUUCUCCAUUUUACCUCCGAGUUCAAACCUGUUAAGGAAAACAAAUCUACAAGGUGAGCAAAACGCUCGUGAGGCCAAGAACACACAUGCAGACACAUAGUUCAGAUAACAAGCCCAAAUACAAUUCAGGUAAUAGCUUGCAAGUAAUUAAUAACGCCGACAAAAUGUAACCAGAAACAAUUCAAGGAUAUGGAAGCUCUCACGAGCUAAGUUUCACAUUUGCCGAUGUCAUUUGUAUAUCUCCCCGUGAUGACUCUCCGUCAACCGGGUUGAUAUUUUCAUAUCCGUAGUUCACCACUUACUUCUCAUCCGUCCACCAUACACCACUUCGGGCCCGCACGACACUUAUAAGGCGAUACUUCACGAGUAUACCAAGCGAGAUCUCUCAAAUAGAUCAAACUUAUCAUGUAAUUCUCAUGGCUCACCAAGGUUCCCGACCAGGCCCAUGCCGGCUCGAGUCCCAAGGUCGGCCUAUGAGUUUGGGCGUCCCCCAUGUAUCAUGUAAAUGUCGAGGAGAUUCACUCCAUCGACGUAUGCAAUCAUAGCAUAUCAUGUCAUAAAUUCAAGCAUUUGACAGGUUUAAACAUGUAUUUCAGGUCAUAUAAACCAUGCAAAGCAUGUCAAACAUGAGUCAUUUGUUCCAAAUGAGAACGAGUGCGAUUAAGUACACACUCGACUCCAUUUUUCAAAAUCCAAUAGACUGAGCAUAUAAUCAGGUAAGUCAAGCAUGAAUCAAGACUUUAGAGCUCAAGUAGGCAUACACUUGACACUCACUAGUUAUGCAAGCAAGUAGGUUGGAGGGAGAGUUCAAACUUUCACGGUAGGGUCCUCUUGGAGGUCCUCGUGCGUGCCUGAACAUCGAAUAGUAGAUAAUUACUAUAGGUCCCCAAGUGGUGAGAAAGAUUGGACACGGGUAAGGUUCGGAAAUAUUUGAAAACUUCGUUUGACUUGUCUUUGAAGUUGGAUUCUCAAAAGGGUGCAGGACUCGAGUAAAAAUCGGAUUAUUAUCCUUAAAAUCAUUGGUUGGAAACGAGUACGAGCAAAACGAUUGCAAAACGAACGAUCGAAAUCGAAAAAGGGCUGGCCACGCCACAAUCCGGCCGGAUUUCUGGCCAGAUUGGAGGCAGUGGCUAACCUCCUUUUUUUUCAAACUUCACCACUAAUCAAGCCGACAAUCCGGCCAGUUUCUGGCCGGAUUCUGUGGAAUAGUUCCUUCGCGGAUUUCCUUUGGAAUUUCAGAAUUUUCGAUUUUUGGUCAAAUCUUUGAAAAAUCAUAAUUUCUUCUCUACAAAUCGAAACUUGAUAAAUUUGGUACCGUUGGAAUCAUCUUCCAAAGUACUAAAAGUCCUUAGAAGACAUUGUUCCAUGAAUCUAAGUGGAAGGUAUUCAAAAAUGAGUCUAAAGUUGCUGUUCUAGAUUACCAGGAUUGAGCCGGGGUUGAUUUUUCGCUAAUUUUGGAAAUUCGGAAAAAAUCACUCGUUGCAAACCGGCCCUUGAAACUUAUAACUCAAUUAGAAGUACAAGUAAAGUUUCGGACAGAACAAGCGGCUCAAGAAUCGGAGUUUCGAGCACCAAGAUAUGGUAGCUCAAAGUUGGGAAAAAUUGAAGACUGUUACAAAAUUUCCAGAUUUGGUUCCGACUUUGGACCUUUUGUUAAGUGUCGAAACGGACUUGAAUUGACACCAAAUUUUGUAGUAUAAUACUCCCAUAUGAAGGGUAUCUCUCUAUCAAAUUUCAUGGAAAAAUACCCUCGGAAAGGUGGUUAAUCAAUCAACCAAAGUUUGGAAAAAUCCUUAAGGCAAUCUAUCCAAAUCUAAGGUUUCAAAAACGAUGCAAUCGCCGUAUUUUGAUCAUAACUCCCUCAAUUUAACUCAGAAUUGGGAAUGGUUGAUAGUGUUAGAAAAUAAAUUCACAGGGAUAAAAUUGCACUGAAGAAAUCGUUACAAGUUUCAGCAUGUAACUGGUUCGAAAUUAAGCCUAAAGUUGCACCAUCAUCAAAUCAUUUCGGCAGAAUGGAGAAACAGGACAGCCGACUUCAGUUGAAUGGUGUGGCUCACACACAUGAAACCAGAAUGUGCACUAUACACCAUUGGAAACAUAGGAACGUCUAGUUUCAAAUGCCGCUAACGGCACUUGAUUUCGACGUCGGAGUACGGAGUUAUGGACGAAACACGAACACUGGUCUGGUUACGACGGCAACCGUUUUCCCAGAUUACUAGCUUUGGAAAUAAAUUCGUUUGACCCACCAAAACUCAGUAUUUUUCAACGAAAAUUUGUACACAACUGCUACAACAUGUAAACAACAUAACCAGGCCAUUAAAUCCUCAGUUUCUGCAUUAAAAUGACCGAACAGAGCAGGGGUAAAAUGGGAACUUUUUGUUUCAAGAGUUCAAUAACGUUUCUGGUAACAAAGCACCUUUAAUCUACUUCCUUAAGCUCUAAUUCAGCAACAAAACCAUCAUCAAACAUCAUCACAGCCAUCAACCCAAAGUGGGAGUUCAUAGAGCCCACGUUUAACAAUUUUCCCAACAAUACAAGCUACUAAAGUGACGAUUCUAGCUCAAAUGCAUAAAUCAAACUCCAAAAGACAAGUUUAAGGUGAUUGAUUACUACCUACUUUGAUGGCUGGUUAGGACAGAAGUUUCUGCCCCUUUGAAGCUUGAAGAACCGUGAAAGCUCCUCCCUUUUCCAGCUAAAUGUGUUGUCCAAGACUUAGGCUAAGUGGUGCUAAAUUUUUAGAAGAUUUGGUGGUGAUUUGCAUGAGUUUUGGAAGAAGAAAUGCUGAAGGUUUCGGUUGUCCCUUUUGCUGCUGCUAUCCGGCCAUGAAGCUUUGCAGAAAUGAAAUGAGAUUGCUG